UACGGGAGGCAGCAGUGAGGAAUAUUGGUCAAUGGACGAGAGUCUGAACCAGCCAAGUAGCGUGCAGGAUGACGGCCCUAUGGGUUGUAAACUGCUUUUAUACGGGGAUAAAGUGACCCACGUGUGGGUUUUUGUAGGUACCGUAUGAAUAAGGACCGGCUAAUUCCGUGCCAGCAGCCGCGGUAAU
This 187-nucleotide ribosomal RNA is filed under the name uncultured rumen bacterium. RNAcentral describes it as "partial 16S ribosomal RNA". It matches the Rfam family "Bacterial small subunit ribosomal RNA", at positions 340 to 524 of the family's 1533-position model. The record is from RNAcentral.